UACGGGAGGCAGUAGUGGGGAAUAUUGCACAAUGGGCGAAAGCCUGAUGCAGCUAUGCCGCGUGUAUGAAGAAGGCCUUAGGGUUGUAAAGUACUUUCAUCGGGGAGGAAAAACAAAACUAAUAAUUUUAUUUCUUGACGUUACCCGAAAAAGAAGCACCGGCUAACUCCGUGCCAGCAGCCGCGGUAAUACGGAGGGUGCUAGCGUUAAUCAGAAUUACUGGGCGUAAAGAGCACGUAGGUGGUUUUUUUAAGUCAGAUGUGAAAUCCCUGGGCUUAACCUAGGAACUGCAUUUUGAAACUGAAAUACUAGAGUAUCGUAGAGGGAGGUAGAAUUCUAGGUGUAGCGGUGAAAUGCGUAGAUAUCUGGAGGAAUACCUGUGGCGAAAGCGGCCUCCUAAACGAAUACUGACACUGAGGGUGCGAAAGCGUGGGGAGCAAACAGGGAUUAGAUACC
This 456-nucleotide ribosomal RNA is filed under the name uncultured bacterium. RNAcentral describes it as "bacterial SSU rRNA". It matches the Rfam family "Bacterial small subunit ribosomal RNA", at positions 340 to 786 of the family's 1533-position model. The record is from RNAcentral.